Molecule: long non-coding RNA, 486 nt
Organism: Chenopodium quinoa (quinoa)
Lineage: Eukaryota; Viridiplantae; Streptophyta; Magnoliopsida; Caryophyllales; Amaranthaceae
Exons: 2
Source: RefSeq, a predicted model, not a curated record
UGAUUAUAAUAAUUACCCCUUCCAUCCAUCAAGUAUUCAAGUCUAUAAAUAGCAGUAUGUGUAUUUAGUCUAGAACUCGUGCAACACACUAGCUAAUACACAGUCUUCAACUCUAUAGUGAUCGAUCUUUGCAUAAUUACAUAGCCGAGGUAGAAAAAAUGGCAUCGGUCCAGUGUGAGAGGAAGAAGUCGCAACUGAGCUGCGAGCAGAACGCAACAUCAGAUGCGUUGUGCGCAAGGUGGCCAUAUGCGCAGUUUGAAAAUGGUGUGUUUGGUGCCUAAGUAGCCUGGGUUGUAGUCUAUGAAUCAUCAAUUCAACAACCUAUAAUAAAUAGUAUUUAAUAAAAAUGUUCGAUUUCUCUUUUGAUUUUGAGCAUGUCUAAUGCAUCUAUUAUUGUAAGAAAAUGCAAGCUAGCUUGUACCUAAGUUAACUUGCAUGUUGUUGAUUUCUACGUUUAUAUAAUUAACAGUUAAAUUACGGAUGUCA